Molecule: long non-coding RNA, 833 nt
Filed under: Microcebus murinus (gray mouse lemur)
Lineage: Eukaryota; Metazoa; Chordata; Mammalia; Primates; Cheirogaleidae
Description: lncRNA (ENSMICG00000048169.1)
Source: RNAcentral
AAGCACCCUGUGCUAUCUGAGGCGUGAAAUCCACCUGAGGAAACGUAUCAGAGAAAACCCUGUGUCUGCAGUGUCAGUAUGGAUUCCUCAGAUUAUUUAGGGAUGGAGACUCUUUAGCAGUGUUAAAUGAAUUACCUUCCAUUUAUGAGAUGGCUUCUUUGCAAAGAAAAGGGCUGCAGGCAAGGACUCUAAGCUAUGAAGAAGAGGAGAAACUGAAAAGAGAUCAAGCUUUGGUGUCUGAUUUUAAACAACAAAAGUUGGAAAAAGAGGCUCAGAAGAACUGGGACCUUUUUUACAAAAGAAAUAGCACUAAUUUCUUCAAAGAUAGACACUGGACCACCAGAGAAUUUGAGGAGCUAAGAUCAUGUAGGGAGUUUGAAGAUCAAAAGUUGAUAGUGCUUGAAGCUGGCUGUGGGGUUGGAAACUGUUUAUUUCCACUUUUAGAAGAAGAUGUGAAUAUCUUUGCUUAUGCCUGUGAUUUUUCUCCAAGAGCAGUUGAAUAUGUAAAGGUAUUAAAACCAGGCAAAAGCGUCUUAUUUCGUGACUAUGGGCUAUAUGAUCAUGCCAUGCUUAGGUUUAAAGCUGGCAGCAAACUUGGAGAAAACUUUUAUGUUAGACAAGAUGGAACCAGAUCGUAUUUUUUUACUGAUGAAUUCCUGGCUCAGCUCUUUAUGGACACAGGUUAUGAGGAAGUGGUGAAUGAAUAUGUGUUUCGAGAGACGGUGAAUAAAAAAGAAGGCCUGUGUGUGUCGAGAGUUUUCCUGCAGAGCAAAUUUCAGAAGCCUCCAAAGAACCCAAGUCCUGUGACCCUGGACCUGAGACAUAAGUCCUGA